RNAcentral lists this transfer RNA (72 nucleotides) under Camelus bactrianus (Bactrian camel). It matches the Rfam family "tRNA". From Rfam's summary of the family: Transfer RNA (tRNA) molecules are approximately 80 nucleotides in length. Their secondary structure includes four short double-helical elements and three loops (D, anti-codon, and T loops). RNAcentral also lists the same sequence under 2 other names. Lineage: Eukaryota; Metazoa; Chordata; Mammalia; Artiodactyla; Camelidae. The record is from Rfam by way of RNAcentral.
GGUGGAAUAGCUCAGUGGUAGAGAGCAUGCUUAGCAUGCACGAGGUCCUGGGUACAAUCCCCAGUCCCUUCA